GCCUAUUCCUUCUCCCCACCCUUCCACGCGCCCAGCACCCGCUCCCCCGCCGCCACCCGCACGCGCCCAGCUCGCCUGCCGCCGCUCGGCGCGCCUGCAAGCCGUCGCCGCCGCGCGUCCGUCCGACCGACCGCCACCGCGUCCGCCUCAGCUCCCUCCCCCUCGCCGCCUCCCUCUAAUCUCGAACCUAGUAGUGGACGACAAGAAUCGUCGGCGCGGCGCCUCGGCAGAUUCGUCCGCUCCAAGCAGGGGGAUGGCGUCGGCGAUGGCGACGUCGUCGGCGCGGGCGCGCAGGAACUCCUUCACUCACGCCACCGCCGCCAUGACGCCAACUCCUUUACUCAUGCCCCUGACUCUCCUACAGCUGGCUUCGCUCCUGGGCACCUCCUCCGUCGCCAUCCCCCCAGGCUCCUCCGCUCCUGUCCCCAGCUCCUCUGCCGCUGGUGACGCUGAUGAGCACCUCCACUGUUGCCCCCACUCCGGCCUAGGCUCCUCUACGGCCAGCGUCGCUCGCCAUCGGCCCAAGGUUCCUCCACUCUCUACUGCCUCCAUUUUUUUUCAAUUAACUGACAUGCGAAUAGAUCUCACCGUGGCCUGUAGACUCCCGAAAUCUUUUUCUAGAGACUGCAACCUGACAGAUCUGCCACGGUAUUGGAAUCCUUUGGUUGUCUCCAUCCAUUUCUGCAAGGUUUGUUCCUGGAUGCUCUUCGAUUUAGGAACCUGACAGAUCUGCAAAUUUUUACAACAUUGGAACCUUCGUAUAGCUAUGGCUGUGUGACAAUAAAGGUACUUUUUAGAUAGUCAGGCUUUAGGAGUCUUCUUGAUACUGCGAAUGUAUUAGUGUAAUCGAUUUGGUUGUUCAGGUGAUAAAGUUAAAUUUCGUUGUUAAGUUAGUACAGAACUUAAUAGUUUUUUUUACCAUGUAGUCUUUGCCAAAAAAGAAGCCAGACUGCAUAUAAGAUGUUGCAUUAAUUGUGCUAUGCUUAGAGUUGUGUUGCAGUUUGCAAUUAAUCAUGUUGGUGAGUAGGAUGCCAGUCAUUCUUGUCAAUAAAUCCCUGUCACAGGGUAAUACAGAAACUCAGAAAGUUCAGAUCUCUACUUGUAUGAUAACAUUCUGAUAUAUCUUGUAUCUCCAUAGAAGAUUAUCUUGGCUGAAGGGAAAUUAUUUUCAAUAGAUUGGCUCUUUAUUUCUAGUAAUGUGGCCCCGUUUCUAGCGAUUAGAAAUUUGGAUUUUAUCUUGAGUCCCACUUCAUGGUUAUGAAUUAUGGGGUAUACAGGCAGCAAGCAGAAUCGACAAACUAUUUAGAAUUUGUGUGGUCUCAUCGUCCUGAUGGGGCAAGUAUGCAGCAGUUGGUACUGGGUCAUCUUUUCAAAUUCUCUGGAAUUUCUAUAUUGCUGUAGACAACUAUAACUCUGAUACAUUUAACUUAUCAAAAUAUUUGUUUGCAAAUAAAGGACUUGCAGCUUUGAGGGUAAGAUGUAUUUUGUAGUCUGUCUUAUGUUCUUCCUAUUCUUGAUGUGUGGGAAAUAUAUGUUUUUUGUGCGUAGACUACCAGAUUUAUAACUUUAAUUUUCUACAAAUAUGAAUAGAUAAUGGAUUGACAAUUUAGCAACACUGAAUAUUCUUAUUCUUUGUGCUGUCCAAACAAUCUUUUAAAUGUAAACACUUUCUAGACAUCAAUUUUUGUGCGCUUUUGGUUCUAAAAAUACUCUGUUUAGAAUACAGUUCUCAAGUCAAAUAGAGUUCUCAUCUCAAAAUUAGAAUGAAGUUUUUCAUGACAGUCAGUACUCUGUUUCCCUUCUUUUUCCUUCUGGAGUUCAGAAAGGUUUCCCUUCUUUUUCCUGAUCGACACUAGCAGUUCAGAAAAACUUUAUAAACACUUAAUAACAUUUGAACUUGUACAACAGAAAAACUUUUCUGAAAUUCUUCGAUUUUCCUACAAUUGCUCUUAUGGAUCUGUCAAAUAUUCAAACCAUCAAGUUAUUAUACUGCCUUCUAUGAUUACUCAUGAAUCCUUGUUCUGAUAGCUACAAUUUUUAUUCUUCUGGUCUGAAUCUUAUGGAUCCUUACUACUAGUCUGUAAGUAUAUAAGUAGUAUUAGCUAAUUCUUGGUGAACUUUGUUUUUUUACAGAUAUGCACACAUCGGACCAUGCAGAUUUGCAAUGGACCUACAUAAUUGGCCUAGGAUCAGUUGGCCUACAUUGAGCUGAGAGGAAUGGAAGUAGCUAGGAGGUAUAUGUAUAGACAUUUAUUCUAUAAAGCAACCAUUACUUUGUAGUUCUGGAGGAUACUCUAUGCAAUCACUUACAGUUCAACACUGUUGUGUAUUUUGAUCAUGAGAACUUUCUGUAUAUACUGUGAAGUGUGAACUAUGUGUGUACUGGUGUGAAAUAUAUCAUAUUGUGAAACAUGGGAUUCAGAAAUGUACACUGUGGAUCUAGAUUUA
Long non-coding RNA from Sorghum bicolor (sorghum), 2448 nucleotides. RefSeq lists it as uncharacterized. Lineage: Eukaryota; Viridiplantae; Streptophyta; Magnoliopsida; Poales; Poaceae. The transcript is spliced from 2 exons. The record is from RefSeq and is a predicted model, not a curated record.